Molecule: ribosomal RNA, 505 nt
Filed under: uncultured bacterium
Lineage: Bacteria
Description: partial 16S ribosomal RNA
Rfam family: Bacterial small subunit ribosomal RNA
Source: RNAcentral
GACGAACGCUGGCGGCGUGCCUAAUACAUGCAAGUAGAACGCACAGUUUAUACCGUAGCUUGCUACACCAUAAACUGUGAGUUGCGAACGGGUGAGUAACGCGUAGGUAACCUGCCUGGUAGCGGGGGAUAACUAUUGGAAACGAUAGCUAAUACCGCAUAAUAUUGAUUAUUGCAUGAUAAUUGAUUGAAAGAUGCUAUUGCAUCACUACCAGAUGGACCUGCGUUGUAUUAGCUAGUAGGUGAGGUAACGGCUCACCUAGGCGACGAUACAUAGCCGACCUGAGAGGGUGACCGGCCACACUGGGACUGAGACACGGCCCAGACUCCUACGGGAGGCAGCAGUAGGGAAUCUUCGGCAAUGGACGAAAGUCUGACCGAGCAACGCCGCGUGAGUGAAGAAGGUUUUCGGAUCGUAAAGCUCUGUUGUAAGAGAAGAACGGGUGUGAGAGUGGAAAGUUCACACUGUGACGGUAUCUUACCAGAAAGGGACGGCUAACUACGUG